RNAcentral lists this transfer RNA (72 nucleotides) under Hemigaleus microstoma (sicklefin weasel shark). RNAcentral's name for it is "tRNA-Gln". It matches the Rfam family "tRNA". Rfam says of the family: Transfer RNA (tRNA) molecules are approximately 80 nucleotides in length. Their secondary structure includes four short double-helical elements and three loops (D, anti-codon, and T loops). The record is from RNAcentral. Lineage: Eukaryota; Metazoa; Chordata; Chondrichthyes; Carcharhiniformes; Hemigaleidae.
UAGAGGGUGGUGUAGAAGGAAGCACGGAGGGUUUUGAUCUCUCAGUUAUAGGUUCAAGUCCUAUCUUUCUAG